GAUGAACGCUGGCGGCGUGCCUAAUACAUGCAAGUCGAGCGAACAGACGAGGAGCUUGCUCCUCUGACGUUAGCGGCGGACGGGUGAGUAACACGUGGAUAACCUACCUAUAAGACUGGGAUAACUUCGGGAAACCGGAGCUAAUACCGGAUAAUAUAUUGAACCGCAUGGUUCAAUAGUGAAAGACGGUUUUGCUGUCACUUAUAGAUGGAUCCGCGCCGCAUUAGCUAGUUGGUAAGGUAACGGCUUACCAAGGCAACGAUGCGUAGCCGACCUGAGAGGAUGAACGGCCACACUGGAACUGAGACACGGUCCAGACUCCUACGGGAGGCAGCAGUAGGGAAUCUUCCGCAAUGGGCGAAAGCUUGACGGAGCAACGCCGCGUGAGUGAUAAAGGUCUUCGGAUCGUAAAACUCUGUUAUUAGGGAAGAACAAAUGUGUAAGUCACUAUGCACGUCUUGACGGUACCUAAUCAGAAGGCCACGGCUAACUACGUG
Molecule: ribosomal RNA, 497 nt
Filed under: uncultured bacterium
Lineage: Bacteria
Description: partial 16S ribosomal RNA
Rfam family: Bacterial small subunit ribosomal RNA
Source: RNAcentral